UUGGUGAGGUAAUGGCUCACCAAGGCGACGACGGGUAGCCGGCCUGAGAGGGCGACCGGCCACACUGGGACUGAGACACGGCCCAGACUCCUACGGGAGGCAGCAGUGGGGAAUAUUGCACAAUGGGCGAAAGCCUGAUGCAGCGACGCCGCGUGAGGGAUGACGGCCUUCGGGUUGUAAACCUCUUUCAGCAGGGAAGAAGCGAAAGUGACGGUACCUGCAGAAGAAGCGCCGGCUAACUACGUGCCAGCAGCCGCGGUAAUACGUAGGGCGCAAGCGUUGUCCGGAAUUAUUGGGCGUAAAGAGCUCGUAGGCGGUCUGUCGCGUCGGAUGUGAAAUCCCGUGGCUCAACUGCGGGUCUGCAGCCGAUACGGGCAGGCUAGAGUUCGGUAGGGGAGACUGGAAUUCCUGGUGUAGCGGUGAAAUGCGCAGAUAUCAGGAGGAACACCGAUGGCGAAGGCAGGUCUCUGGGCCGAUACUGACGCUGAGGAGCGAAAGCGUGGGGAGCGAACAGGAUUAGAUACCCUGGUAGUCCACGCUGUAAACGUUGGGCGCUAGGUGUGGGGGACCUCUCCGGUUCUCUGUGCCGCAGCUAACGCAUUAAGCGCCCCGCCUGGGGAGUACGG
RNAcentral lists this ribosomal RNA (626 nucleotides) under uncultured bacterium. Its description in RNAcentral is "bacterial SSU rRNA". It matches the Rfam family "Bacterial small subunit ribosomal RNA", at positions 249 to 885 of the family's 1533-position model. The record is from RNAcentral.